GACGAACGCUGGCGGCGUGCUUAACACAUGCAAGUCGAACGGAAAGGCCCUGCUUUUGUGGGGUGCUCGAGUGGCGAACGGGUGAGUAACACGUGAGUAACCUGCCCUUGACUUUGGGAUAACUUCAGGAAACUGGGGCUAAUACCGGAUAGGAGCUCCUGCUGCAUGGUGGGGGUUGGAAAGUUUCGGCGGUUGGGGAUGGACUUGCGGCUUAUCAGCUUGUUGGUGGGGUAGUGGCUUACCAAGGCUUUGACGGGUAGCCGGCCUGAGAGGGUGACCGGCCACAUUGGGACUGAGAUACGGCCCAGACUCCUACGGGAGGCAGCAGUGGGGAAUAUUGCACAAUGGGCGGAAGCCUGAUGCAGCAACGCCGCGUGCGGGAUGACGGCCUUCGGGUUGUAAACCGCUUUCGCCUGUGACGAAGCGUGAGUGACGGUAAUGGGCAAAGAAGCACCGGCUAACUACGUG
This 468-nucleotide ribosomal RNA is filed under the name uncultured bacterium. Its description in RNAcentral is "partial 16S ribosomal RNA". It matches the Rfam family "Bacterial small subunit ribosomal RNA", at positions 28 to 507 of the family's 1533-position model. The record is from RNAcentral.